UUGGUGAGGUAAUGGCUCACCAAGGCGACGACGGGUAGCCGGCCUGAGAGGGCGACCGGCCACACUGGGACUGAGACACGGCCCAGACUCCUACGGGAGGCAGCGGUGGGGAAUAUUGCACAAUGGGCGAAAGCCUGAUGCAGCGACGCCGCGUGAGGGAUGACGGCCUUCGGGUUGUAAACCUCUUUCAGCAGGGAAGAAGCGAAAGUGACGGUACCUGCAGAAGAAGCGCCGGCUAACUACGUGCCAGCAGCCGCGGUAAUACGUAGGGCGCAAGCGUUGUCCGGAAUUAUUGGGCGUAAAGAGCUCGUAGGCGGCUUGUCACGUCGGGUGUGAAAGCCCGGGGCUUAACCCCGGGUCUGCAUUCGAUACGGGCUAGCUAGAGUGUGGUAGGGGAGAUCGGAAUUCCUGGUGUAGCGGUGAAAUGCGCAGAUAUCAGGAGGAACACCGGUGGCGAAGGCGGAUCUCUGGGCCAUUACUGACGCUGAGGAGCGAAAGCGUGGGGAGCGAACAGGAUUAGAUACCCUGGUAGUCCACGCCGUAAACGGUGGGAACUAGGUGUUGGCGACAUUCCACGUCGUCGGUGCCGCAGCUAACGCAUUAAGUUCCCCGCCUGGGGAGUACG
RNAcentral lists this ribosomal RNA (625 nucleotides) under uncultured bacterium. RNAcentral's name for it is "bacterial SSU rRNA". It matches the Rfam family "Bacterial small subunit ribosomal RNA", at positions 249 to 884 of the family's 1533-position model. The record is from RNAcentral.